Molecule: ribosomal RNA, 481 nt
Filed under: uncultured bacterium
Lineage: Bacteria
Description: partial 16S ribosomal RNA
Rfam family: Bacterial small subunit ribosomal RNA
Source: RNAcentral
GAUGAACGCUGGCGGCGUGCUUAACACAUGCAAGUCGAACGAAGCACUUUAUUUGAUUUCCUUCGGGACUGAUUAUUUUGUGACUGAGUGGCGGACGGGUGAGUAACGCGUGGGUAACCUGCCUUGUACAGGGGGAUAACAGUUGGAAACGGCUGCUAAUACCGCAUAAGCGCACAGCAUCGCAUGAUGCAGUGUGAAAAACUCCGGUGGUAUAAGAUGGACCCGCGUUGGAUUAGCUAGUUGGGGAGGUAACGGCCCACCAAGGCGACGAUCCAUAGCCGACCUGAGAGGGUGACCGGCCACAUUGGGACUGAGACACGGCCCAAACUCCUACGGGAGGCAGCAGUGGGGAAUAUUGCACAAUGGGCGAAAGCCUGAUGCAGCGACGCCGCGUGAGCGAAGAAGUAUUUCGGUAUGUAAAGCUCUAUCAGCAGGGAAGAUAAUGACGGUACCUGACUAAGAAGCACCGGCUAAAUACGUG